This is a long non-coding RNA of Pantherophis guttatus, 651 nucleotides long. RefSeq lists it as uncharacterized. The record is from RefSeq and is a predicted model, not a curated record. Lineage: Eukaryota; Metazoa; Chordata; Lepidosauria; Squamata; Colubridae.
UUGCUAUACCUGGCGCUGGGAAGGGAAGCAGGUUGAUUAAUCCCUGAUCCCUGCUGCUUUAGGCACCUGUCAGAGGCAGAGGAGGCCAAAUACUCAUCCGUGUGUGAAACUGUUAUCACAUAAAAACUGGCCCUGAUGUCCUUGAGUCAGCAUCAGAAUGCAAGUGUAUCUUCACAAUGCUGACAUAACGACAUCACCCACAUGUCAUCUUUCUGAUUACAGUGUGAUUUGUUACAGAGGCCAGUUUGUGCUACCUCAAUAUGCAUAGACACAGGGGAGAAUUUAAAGAGCAGCAGCAAGGACUCUUGUACCAUGUUUCUCUAACCAUGCCAGCAUCUCACCCUCGUCCAGGACAGCACAAUAAUAAACUAGACACUCCUUUGUCUGUAAAAACAUUGUCCUUCGUUACAACAUGAAAAGCAUGUAGGCUUUCUAUAGAGGCACUGCCGCUGCCAGAGGAGGCGUGGAAGGAUGGAGGAAUCAUUCUGGAUCAUCAGUUCACCUGACAGCAAGAUAGCCAGGAAAUGAUAAAAUCUGUUUGUCUCCAUCAACCCAUUUGAUCUGAGAUGUGUUUCACAUUACUUCAUGGAUGAGAAGAUGCCUCAUUUCCUACUUUGAUCAGGGAUAUAAACAUUUCUCUUUCUUCCUGAA